CCUCGGGUGGCAGCAGUGAGGAAUAUUGGUCAAUGGCCGGAAGGCUGAACCAGCCAUGCCGCGUGAAGGUCAGUGCCCUAUGGGCGUUAUACUUUUUUUGUGCGGGAGCAAUAAUGGACACGUGUGGCCAGACGAGAGGAUCGUACGAAUAAGCAUCGGCUAACUCCGGGCCAGCAGCCGCGGUAAUACGGGGGAUGCAAGCGUUAUCCGGAUUUAUUGGGUGUAAAGGGUGCGUAGGCUGGGAGGUAAGUCAGCGCUGAAAUGCCCCCGCUCAACGGGGUGGAGUGCCAUUGAUACUGCCUUGCUGGAAUGCGGAUGCCGUAGGAGGAAUGUGUGGUGUAGCGGUGAAAUGCAUAGAUAUCACACAGAACACCGAUUGCGAAGGCAUCUCACGAAUGCGCGAUUGACGCUGAUGCACGAAAGCGUGGGUAUCAAACAGGAUUAGAUACCCCGGUAGUC
This 459-nucleotide ribosomal RNA is filed under the name uncultured bacterium. RNAcentral describes it as "partial 16S ribosomal RNA". It matches the Rfam family "Bacterial small subunit ribosomal RNA", at positions 339 to 795 of the family's 1533-position model. The record is from RNAcentral.